Molecule: transfer RNA, 73 nt
Filed under: Candidatus Pacearchaeota archaeon
Lineage: Archaea; Nanobdellati
Description: tRNA-Gln
Rfam family: tRNA
About the family: Transfer RNA (tRNA) molecules are approximately 80 nucleotides in length. Their secondary structure includes four short double-helical elements and three loops (D, anti-codon, and T loops).
Source: RNAcentral
AGCCCCAUAGUUCAGUGGUCAAGAAUGCGAGGUUUUGAACCUCGCGACCCAGGUUCGAAUCCUGGUGGGGCUA